RNAcentral lists this ribosomal RNA (411 nucleotides) under uncultured bacterium. RNAcentral's name for it is "bacterial SSU rRNA". It matches the Rfam family "Bacterial small subunit ribosomal RNA", at positions 362 to 770 of the family's 1533-position model. The record is from RNAcentral.
UAUUGGUCAAUGGGCGAGAGCCUGAACCAGCCAAGUCGCGUGAAGGAUGACGGCCCUACGGGUUGUAAACUUCUUUUGUCAGGGAGCAAUUGGGUCCACGCGUGGGCUUAGCGAGAGUACCUGAAGAAAAAGCAUCGGCUAACUCCGUGCCAGCAGCCGCGGUAAUACGGAGGAUGCGCGCGUUAUUCGGAUUUAUUGAGUUUAAAGGGUGCGCAGGCGGAAUGUCAAGUCAGCGGUAAAAUUUCGGGGCUCAACCCCGUCGUGCCGUUGAAACUGGCGUUCUUGAGUGAGCGAGAAGUAUGCGGAAUGCGUGGUGUAGCGGUGAAAUGCAUAGAUAUCACGCAGAACUCCGAUUGCGAAGGCAGCAUACCGGCGCUCAACUGACGCUCAUGCACGAAAGCGUGGGUAUCG